Molecule: ribosomal RNA, 440 nt
Filed under: uncultured bacterium
Lineage: Bacteria
Description: partial 16S ribosomal RNA
Rfam family: Bacterial small subunit ribosomal RNA
Source: RNAcentral
CCUACGGGAGGCAGCAGUAGGGAAUAUUGCUCAAUGGGGGAAACCCUGAAGCAGCAACGCCGCGUGGAGGAUGAAGGUUUUCGGAUUGUAAACUCCUUUUGUUAGAGAAGAUAAUGACGGUAUCUAACGAAUAAGCACCGGCUAACUCCGUGCCAGCAGCCGCGGUAAUACGGAGGGUGCAAGCGUUACUCGGAAUCACUGGGCGUAAAGAGCGCGUAGGCGGGAUAGCAAGUCAGAUGUGAAAUCCUAUGGCUUAACCAUAGAACUGCAUUUGAAACUGUUAUUCUAGAGUAUGGGAGAGGUAGGUGGAAUUCUUGGUGUAGGGGUAAAAUGCGUAGAGAUCAAGAGGAAUACUGAUUGCGAAGGCGACCUGCUAGAACAUAACUGACGCUGAUGCGCGAAAGCGUGGGGAGCAAACAGGAUUAGAUACCCCAGUAGUC